GACGAACGCUGGCGGCGUGCUUAACACAUGCAAGUCGAACGGAAAGGCCCUGCUUUUGUGGGGUGCUCGAGUGGCGAACGGGUGAGUAACACGUGAGUAACCUGCCCUUGACUUUGGGAUAACUUCAGGAAACUGGGGCUAAUACCGGAUAGGAGCUCCUGCUGCAUGGUGGGGGUUGGAAAGUUUCGGCGGUUGGGGAUGGACUCGCGGCUUAUCAGCUUGUUGGUGGGGUAGUGGCUUACCAAGGCUUUGACGGGUAGCCGGCCUGAGAGGGUGACCGGCAACAUUGGGACUGAGAUACGGCCCAGACUCCUACGGGAGGCAGCAGUGGGGAAUAUUGCACAAUGGGCGGAAGCCUGAUGCAGCAACGCCGCGUGCGGGAUGACGGCCUUCGGGUUGUAACCCGCUUUCGCCUGUGACGAAGCGUGAGUGACGGUAAUGGGUAAAGAAGCACCGGCUAACUACGUG
RNAcentral lists this ribosomal RNA (468 nucleotides) under uncultured bacterium. Its description in RNAcentral is "partial 16S ribosomal RNA". It matches the Rfam family "Bacterial small subunit ribosomal RNA", at positions 28 to 507 of the family's 1533-position model. The record is from RNAcentral.